UACACGAGUGGCGAACGGGUGAGUAACACGUGGGUGAUCUGCCCUGCACUCUGGGAUAAGCCUGGGAAACUGGGUCUAAUACCGGAUAGGAGCUCCUGUCGCAUGGCGGGGGUUGGAAAGGUUUACUGGUGCAGGAUGGGCCCGCGGCCUAUCAGCUUGUUGGUGGGGUAAUGGCCUACCAAGGCGACGACGGGUAGCCGGCCUGAGAGGGCGACCGGCCACACUGGGACUGAGACACGGCCCAGACUCCUACGGGAGGCAGCAGUGGGGAAUAUUGCACAAUGGGCGAAAGCCUGAUGCAGCGACGCCGCGUGAGGGAUGACGGCCUUCGGGUUGUAAACCUCUUUCAGCAGGGACGAAGCGAGAGUGACGGUACCUGCAGAAGAAGCACCGGCCAACUACGUGCCAGCAGCCGCGGUAAUACGUAGGGUGCGAGCGUUGUCCGGAAUUACUGGGCGUAAAGAGCUCGUAGGCGGUUUGUCGCGUCGUCCGUGAAAACUUGGGGCUCAACCCCAAGCUUGCGGGCGAUACGGGCAGACUUGAGUACUGCAGGGGAGACUGGAAUUCCUGGUGUAGCGGUGAAAUGCGCAGAUAUCAGGAGGAACACCGGUGGCGAAGGCGGGUCUCUGGGCAGUAACUGACGCUGAGGAGCGAAAGCGUGGGUAGCGAACAGGAUUAGAUACCCUGGUAGUCCACGCCGUAAACGGUGGGCGCUAGGUGUGGGUUUCCUUCCACGGGAUCCGUGCCGUAGCUAACGCAUUAAGCGCCCCGCCUGGGGAGUACGGCCGCAAGGCUAAAACUCAAGGAAUUGACGGGGGCCCGCACAAGCGGCGGAGCAUGUGGAUUAAUUCGAUGCAACGCGAAGAACCUUACCUGGGUUUGACAUAUACCGGAAAGCCGUAGAGAUACGGCCCCCCUUGUGGUCGGUAUACAGGUGGUGCAUGGCUGUCGUCAGCUCGUGUCGUGAGAUGUUGGGUUAAGUCCCGCAACGAGCGCAACCCUUGUCCUGUGUUGCCAGCGCGUAAUGGCGGGGACUCGCAGGAGACUGCCGGGGUCAACUCGGAGGAAGGUGGGGACGACGUCAAGUCAUCAUGCCCCUUAUGUCCAGGGCUUCACACAUGCUACAAUGGCCGGUACAGAGGGCUGCGAUACCGUGAGGUGGAGCGAAUCCCUUAAAGCCGGUCUCAGUUCGGAUCGGGGUCUGCAACUCGACCCCGUGAAGUCGGAGUCGCUAGUAAUCGCAGAUCAGCAACGCUGCGGUGAAUACGUUCCCGGGCCUUGUACACACCGCCCGUCACGUCAUGAAAGUCGGUAACACCCGAAGCC
RNAcentral lists this ribosomal RNA (1326 nucleotides) under Rhodococcus (subgen. Prescottella) equi. RNAcentral describes it as "Prescottella equi bacterial SSU rRNA". It matches the Rfam family "Bacterial small subunit ribosomal RNA", at positions 88 to 1428 of the family's 1533-position model. Lineage: Bacteria; Bacillati; Actinomycetota; Actinomycetes; Mycobacteriales; Nocardiaceae. The record is from RNAcentral.